This 1273-nucleotide long non-coding RNA is filed under the name Triticum aestivum (bread wheat). RNAcentral describes it as "long non-coding RNA (TAES_LNC004072)". Lineage: Eukaryota; Viridiplantae; Streptophyta; Magnoliopsida; Poales; Poaceae. The record is from RNAcentral.
UUACAUGUGGCACCGCCCCACCAUCCGUCAGCCAUCUACCAGGCUCCUAUUUCGCGCGUGGUGGCCGCGCCCCUCACCCUAGGUAACUACAGCAAAUUCCCUCCUCCCCGCUCAUUCCACUGCCCCUCUCUCAUGAAUCUACCUCCACGCACGAAGGGGCGAGCUGCUCAUGGCCGACUCCUCCGUAUUCCAUGGCGAGCAUGAAGGCAGCCGGUGCUACUUUGACGCUACAGUGCAGCUACAGCCUAACUACACUACUAAUUCUUUUAACUUCUCCUAACUUCUAAUUUACUGUUAACUUCUUAAAUGAUGUUAACUUCAAAUUUGUUAUUAACCGGUGAUGUUGCUUGUUGUUAACUGCUCUGCUUUGUUUUGUUAACUGAUGUUCGGGUCAAGGGUGUGCGCAUGAGCUUGUGUUUGAUGUUUCAGCCAUUGUCUCUUCUCAAAACUGGUGGUGCGUGCACUGCUCAUAGUGGUGAUUACGAGAUUGGGGCAAGGAGCAAAGACAUACAAAGACAGCAGUUAACUUCAGUUAAGUUUUUUACAUUCAUGAAGAAUACAAAGAUGGGAAAAAAGAACAGUUAACUUCAAUAACUUUCUUUUAUUAAAGUUCUGCAGUUUUUAACGUGGUUCAGGUAACUUCCCAUUUUUUGGUUGGUUUACUUAACUUGUUUAGCUUUUAUCGCCACCACUAAAUCUACUACGAACACGAGUGGCUUGUGGUGGUCCUGCUUGAGAAGAAACAAGUGUGCAGAGGGUGAGAGGGAGUUAACAAGGUUGUAGGAGCUCAUGCUACAUGUGUUCAAAGCUACAUGGAGAAGUGGUUCUUCUCUACCCUGGUUUCCUUCCCCGUCUCCUGCUGUGGACUAUGCUCCAUCAACGGCAGCGCCCGCUCCAUGUUGCCCGCGACUGCAGUUAACUCCGAGUGCACUGUGCUGCCCAUCCCAAGCUCCCGCUUCAACGAGACUACAUGGGAGAUGGGAGAGGGCCGGUGGUGCCUGCAAAUUCGCUGCGCAGUAAUAUACUAGGUGUGGAUGUAGUUAGCUCGUCCCUCAUGUGAUAAGAGCAAAACAUAGUGCGUUUUUGCAGUUAUCUGUACUCAAACAUAAUAAUUCACUUUUUGAGAUGUGGCAGUUCUUUUGCACUUAUUUAUGAAAAAAAUACACAUAAAUUAUGUCAGUUAACUCUGCAAUUUGCAGCAGUUAUCUGAAGCCGAUCAGAACCCUGGUUCGAUGGUGAUCGAUCACCUCCCUGAAGAUUGAGUGAGGUUAAG